CCUACUGGUGGCAUCAUUGGGGUAUCUUGCACAAUGGGGGAAACCCUGAUGCAUCGACGCCGCUUUCUUUCCUCCUUCUUUCUUUCUUUCCCUCUCUCUCCUCCGUUCCUCCCCUGACAGUACCUGACCAAGAAGCCCCGGCUAACUACGUGCCAGCAGCCGCGGUAAUACGUAGGGGGCAAGCGUUAUCCGGAUUUACUGGGUGUAAAGGGAGCGUAGACGGUUAUGUAAGUCUGGAGUGAAAGCCCGGGGCCCAACCCCGGGACUGCUUUGGAAACUGUGUAACUGGAGUACAGGAGGGGCAGGCGGAAUUCCUGGUGUAGCGGUGAAAUGCGUAGAUAGCAGGAGGAACACCGGCGGCGAAGGCAGCCUGCUGGACUGAAACUGACGUUGAGGCUCGAAAGCGUGGGGAGCAAACAGGAUUAGAUACCCGGGUAGUC
RNAcentral lists this ribosomal RNA (440 nucleotides) under uncultured bacterium. RNAcentral's name for it is "partial 16S ribosomal RNA". It matches the Rfam family "Bacterial small subunit ribosomal RNA", at positions 338 to 795 of the family's 1533-position model. The record is from RNAcentral.